Molecule: ribosomal RNA, 274 nt
Filed under: uncultured bacterium
Lineage: Bacteria
Description: partial 16S ribosomal RNA
Rfam family: Bacterial small subunit ribosomal RNA
Source: RNAcentral
AUACGGAGGGGGCAAGCGUUGUUCGGAAUUACUGGGCGUAAAGGGCGCGUAGGCGGAUUAUCAAGUCAGAGGUGAAAGCCCUGGGCUCAACCUGGGAACUGCCUAUGAAACUGAUAGUCUUGAGGCCGGAAGAGGAUGGCGGAAUUCCCAGUGUAGAGGUGAAAUUCGUAGAUAUUGGGAAGAACACCAGUGGCGAAGGCGGCCAUCUGGUCCGGUUCUGACGCUGAGGCGCGAAAGCGUGGGGAGCAAACAGGAUUAGAUACCCCGGUAGUCC